Molecule: long non-coding RNA, 2196 nt
Organism: Dromaius novaehollandiae (emu)
Lineage: Eukaryota; Metazoa; Chordata; Aves; Casuariiformes; Dromaiidae
Exons: 5
Source: RefSeq, a predicted model, not a curated record
CCCCCGCGCGCUCCCCCGCCCCCCCCGCCCCCCUCCGCCGCCCCAAACUCCUUCCUCAGGACCGUGGGAUGCUGGCGAGCCCUGGUGCGAGCUGCCGGUCUCCAUUUCCAAGCGGGGAGCCGCCGGGAGCGGCCCUUCUCCCCCGCCCCGCAUCCCGGGUGCAACCGGAUCACAAAAAUCAAAGCUGAGUGCGUUUUACCCCAGUUGUCUUCCUCUGAGCACACUCACAAGGCCCACUCUGUUCUCCAGUCUUGUUACAUGGAUUGCUAUCUCUCCAAGUAAUUCCUCAGCAUCCCCUUGGAUGGCAUCUACUGCACGCUGAAUCAUUUCCCCUAACUGAAAUGGCUCCAGCACAGCUAUUCCCUAGAAGACAUCCUCCCCGAUUUCUUACAGGGCCUGUAAGAUAAUUGAAGUUGCAGAACAGCAAAGACAUAGACAGAGACACUGAGGUCUUAUUGCUCCUGUCGGAAACUUCUGCUGUCUACAGCAUGAGCUGGAUUGGGCCCAGAGAAACCAAAUACACACAAGUAACAAUGAGUUGGCCAUACAAGCAAGGAAAAUCACAGAUAACAGAUGCACACAAAUUAGCAAUGUACCUUUUAGGUCAUUCAGUACAGCUCCCUGACACUGUGAGAUUGUUUCCUAUGGCAUAUUUUCGGCUGUUUUGUGUAUCUAGAUUAAAUGUCCUAAGUGAUGCCAUGUCCCUAGGGAGGGAUUUUGCUGCCUAAUGGAUCUCAUUGUCAGAAGUUUUUUUCCUUUCUUAACAUCACCAUGUUUCACCUAGUUAUGUACCUUUGCAAACCUCCUUCGCAAUUCUUUCCCUUCCUUUGUAUUAUUUCCCUCCAGUAUCUUUAGGCUACUGUGAUGUUCCCUUUAGUUAUCAUUAGUCCAACCUAUAUAUGUUUAGCUCAUUUAAUCUUUCCUGAUAAAACAGUCCUUUUGGUGUCCUGGUUAUUCUUCCUGUUCUCUUAUCACACUUCUGCCUGUCAGCAUCUUUUUUUGGUUAUGAGAUUUCAAAGAUGUGAUGCAUUCUUCUGAACUAAUGACAGAUCUGGCAUAGAUAUGAGCACCCUCAAUGUCUUCUUACUAAUAAACACUCCUCAUGCACUCAUGGGAAAGCCAUCAGCUUUCUGGACAGAUGCACAAGUAGAGUGUCCUGUGCAAGCCACUUCCUUGGUAUCACUUUUUCUUAUUUUGUUGGUCAACAGUAACCUUUUAAAACAGUUAACCCAAGUGGUUUAAAAAACAAAUGCCUAUCAUUACGAUUUUCUUUUCACAGUACAGGAGAUAGAACAGCACCAAUUAAAAAUAUUUUAUUGCUGUUGUUUAGAUUUUCUAACACUUGGCCAUGGGCAUCACUAUCUAAUAUUAUUAAAGACGUUGACUUGUCUAGAAACUGUAUCUAAAUGCUAGUAGAGUACAUUGUAGAAAAUAAUUAUGUACAUAGUCACAAGCCUGGCUGUUCACUUCAGGCAAUAAAUUCUGAUCAACAAACAACACUUCUUUAGCGCUAAAUGAGAUCUUGGUUGUAAUUGAAUGUCUUUAGCUUUGUGUUCUGUUGGAUUGGAGGAAUAUCAUUUUAAUCUGUUCUCUUUAAAUUUUCAUUAAGGAACGUUUCAGCUACCUGCAGCCUCAUCUGAUGAAGUUUAAUGAUAUCAGCUAGCUCGUUCUUCUGUGCACCAGCAGGGACUUCUUUAAAUUGGUCAACUGUACAGAACAUUGUUUUUGAGUUUAACGUACUCAGAAUCAACCCUUUGAAAUAAUGACAUCUCUUAAGACAGUUUAUAUAAUAAUGCACACAUAUGAGCAUAUAUUUAUGUGCAUGUAUGUCUGUGUGUAUAUAUAUAUAUAUAUAUAUGCGUGAGUGCACACACAGAUACAGAAAUACAGGGCCUAUCUACCUUCUUUAAGACAUAUCGACUAAUAUCAUCAUUAUAAAGGUGCUGGUAAAUUUGAAAUGGUAUGCAUUUUUGUUGGAGUUUACUUCUGUAACCUAAGAUCAGAAAGAUAAGCUGUGAAAUUCAUAUGCAGCUGAUGACAUAACGCUGCUAUCUUGUGAUGCUGAACCUCACAUUUCUGGGAGUGUAGGAUGGAUGCUCCUUGCUGGAAUAAUUAUACUGCCAAUGCAAUACAUGUUUCCUUGUUUUCAUGUGGGCACAGAGAUGUCCAAACCAUUAAAUAUAUAUGGUAUAAUGA